GCCUUCGGGCAUUUGGUCAAUUUAUAACAAUACAGAGAAGAUUAGCAUGGCCCCUGCACUAAGGAUGGUGAGUUCGAGUCCUUGCUUGUCCAAAAUACUU
RNAcentral lists this small nuclear RNA (100 nucleotides) under Aureobasidium subglaciale EXF-2481. The record is from RNAcentral. Lineage: Eukaryota; Fungi; Ascomycota; Dothideomycetes; Dothideales; Saccotheciaceae.